Sander lucioperca (pikeperch) is the source of this 247-nucleotide long non-coding RNA. RefSeq lists it as uncharacterized. Lineage: Eukaryota; Metazoa; Chordata; Actinopteri; Perciformes; Percidae. The record is from RefSeq and is a predicted model, not a curated record. The transcript is spliced from 3 exons.
CUCUAUGAGACAAAAGACAGAAUCAGAGUCUGUUUUUAAAAGAGAUAGUUGAGAUUGAAAUGACUGGCUCUGUGGACACUUGCAAAGUGAAAAAGGAAAACCUUACGAAAUACAGUCCAGAGUCAGAUAAAUCCACUCUCUUGAUUUUAAGAAAGACAGUAGAGAUGUUGGAGCUCAUCUCAAAUCCAUUUUGAAAUCCAUCACAGAAGGAAGCAUUGCUAUCAUAUGGAUUCAUAGAGGAGACACA